GGGGGCAGGGGAUCUGGAACUUCUUGUAGAUGACCUGGGCAGGAAGGGGGCGGAAAACCCAGUCAGCGCCUGGCCCUGCCAGUGUUGCGCACGGCCCCCCAGCAGCUCAGCCCCAGCUCUGAGCCUGGGAGGAAAGGCAGCGAAGGAGACGGGUGCUGCCCAAGCAUGAGGGGGAGAUCAUGGGGCAGGGGAGAGCGGCCCAUCCCUCUGUAUCACUGACCAACCCAGCCAGGCCUUCCCAGUCCAACCCUCAGGGUCCUUCUCUGCUCUUCCGGAAACCCCUGCUCCCCAUGGGCUGCCAGAGCAGGGAGAUCACCCUGGGCCCCAGCCACGCUGGUCCGAGGUCCCCUGAAGGGUGUGAUUCAUCCCACACCGCAGCGCCUGAGGCCCCCUUGCAGCCCCUGGGCACAGACUGGGCUCCCAGGGCGCUCGUAACUUUCAGGCCUGGCAAAUUAUUUCAAGGGAUACUGUAGAGACACCAUGACCCCCCCCCUCCCCCCAGCUCUCUGUCUGUGGGCUUUGCUCUGGCCUACCACACUCUGACCCUAACCCCGCCCAUGUCUAACUGCACCUCUCCCCCAGGGAUGCUGUUACCUCCCGCCCCUCCGCCAGCUGGGGAGAGAGAAAGUGAUUCCUAGAUCUAUGGCCAGGAGGGACCAAUCUGACUUCCUGGAUAGCCCAGGCCAGAGACCUGCCCCACAGUAAUCCUCAGAGCAGAGCUGCGAGCAAAGCAUCCCAUCUUGGUUUAAAAGUUAUCACAGAUGGAGACUCCACCCCGCCCCUGGGUAAAUGGUUCUAGUGGUUAGUUACCCUCCCUGCUAAAACAUACGCCUCAUUUCCAGUGUGAAGGUGUCUAGCUUCAGCUUCCAGCCACUGGAUCCUGUUAGACCUUCCUCCGCUCAAUUAAAUAUCUGUGCCCCACGCAGGUACCCACAGACUGGGCUCCAGUCACCCACUGACCGUCUCUUCGCUAAGCUAAACAGAUGGAGCUUCCGGCGUCUCGCGCUCUCAGGCAGGUUUUCGAGUCCUUUCCAUUCCUCGCUGCUCAUCUCUGAGCCCUCGGCAACGUAUCCCCCUCCCCCUUGAACCCUGGACCAGACUGAGGCUGCUCAGUGUCACUAGGCCUCAGGUCUCAGUUGCACUCUGGGAUUCUGGGUGCUGGAGCCAAACCCGCCUGCCUGCGAGAUGAGCAACGGAAACCCCAUGAUGUCUUCGAAACCGCUUGGCCCUUCCAGGGCCUGAUGUCACAGCAGGGUUUGGUGACGGGCAAAGAAUUCUCAUAUCUCGCAGGUUAUGUGUGUGCGUGUGCCUCUCUGUGUGUGUGUGCAUGUGUGUGCCUAUCAGUGUGCGUGUGUGUUCGUGCAUGAGCUGGUGUGUAUGUGUGUGUGCGCGAGCCUCUCUGUGUGCGUGUGCGCACAUGCAUGAGUGUGCGUGUGUCUCUCGGUGUGCGUGUGUGUUCGUGUAUGAGCUGGUGUGUAUGUGUGUGUGCGCGAGCCUCUCUGUGUGCGUGUGCGUGCAUGCAUGAGUGUGCGUGUGUCUCUGUGUGCGUGCGCAUGCAUGAGUGUGCAUGUGCCUCUCAGCGUGCGUGUGCAAGCGUGCAUGAGCAUGUGUGCCUUUCACAGUGCAUGUGCGUGUGUGCAUGAGUGUGUGUGUGCGCGAGCCUCUCUAUGUGCAUGUGGGCGCGUGCAUGUGUGCAUGUGCCUCUCCAUGUGCGUGCGUGCAUGAGCGUGUGUGUGCAGGAGUGUGUGCGCAUGCAUGAGCGUGUGUGCAUGUGCGCGAGCCUCUCUGUGUGCGUGUGUGCACAUGCAUGAGUGUGUCUGUGCCUCUCCGUGUGCGCAUGCAUGAGUAUGUAUGCCUAUGUGCAUGUGCAUGAACCUCUGUGUGUAUGCGCGCGCAUGCAUGAGCGUGUGUGUGCACGAGCCUCUCCACGUGCACGUGCAUGAGUGUGUGUGCCUAUGUGCGCGUGCAUGAAUCUCUCCAUGUGCGCACGUGCAUGAGUGCGUGUGCGCGUACAUGAACCUCUCAGUGUGCAUGUGCAUGAACCUCUCCGUGUGUGCGCGCGUGCAUGAGUGUGCGCGCGCAUGCAUGAACCUCUCCAUGUGCAUGUGCAUGAACCUCUCUGUGUGUGCGUGUGUGCAUGCGUGCAUGAGUGUGCGUGCAUGAACCUCUCCGUGUGUGCUGCUAUCCCUGAAGGCUCAGCGUUCUCCCCCAGCCCCGGAGCCCUCGCCCACCCCUCUACCCUGGAUCUAGGCUUCUUCAACUAGAAAUAAAACCAUUUGUUUGCCAGGCCAGGCCCCGAGGGGUCUGCUUGGGACCAGCUGAUGGGCCAGUAGGGACCAGGUCCCUGUCUGGGGCCACAAGCAGCCAUGACAAGCCCAGCGGCUCCAGCUCCUUCUCUGCAGCCCAAAGCAGAGACCUUCAGUCCCCAGCUGGUGUCUGGAGCUCUGAGCAGCCAUGGGAGCAAGUGCUGAGCAACCAGGCACUGUCCUGCCCCUGCUGGAGUCACUAACAACCCGCAGUGCGGGCCAACAGGAGCAGAGGGUCCUGCUAUCCCAGCCCUGGGCUCCCCCCAGCUCUGCUGGUGCUCCUCGCUCCUGACCCGCAGCCCCUGCUACCCUAGCCCUGGGCUCACCCGCAGCUCUGCCAGUGCCCCUCACUCCCAACCCGCAGCCCCCUGCUAUCCCAGCCCAGGGCCUCUCUGAAGUGGAGUUGGCAGUGUUUCAGCUAGUGCAGAAUGGGGCCAUUUGGCCGCUAGAAAAGGCCCAUUUCACCUGGGAGCUACGCCAGCUUUAAACCCAGCUCCCCUGAGCUGGCAGGCUGUGCUGCUCCCCCAGGGACCCUGGUGAGGGGAGCUGGAAGAGCGGCUGGUCUCUGCCCAUGUGGAGCUGCAGCCAGACUCUCCCCCGCCCCCAGACAAAGACAUGGCACUCAGCGCCCGCAUGACGGGCGUGCAGCUCCCCAUGCCAGGGCUGAGAUCACACCAGGGUCCUCAUGCACUGAGCCGCCUAUCUCCUGUGCUCCCACGUCAGUCCGCAGAGCCCAUCACCCGGAGUCAGGCCCUUUGUGUGGCCCCCUCACUCCCGAUCCCUCCCCAGCGGCAGCGUCCCGAGCUCCAGCUAGGGCACAGGCCACCCAGGACUAGGGGCAAGGUAAACGGGGCCCCUUGUCAGUCAGUGCCAGGCCUCACAUCCCGGGUCCUUCUGCAGAGCGAUGACCCCUUUGUGGGGGAGGAAGCCAAUGGUGGGGCUUCCCCCCAAACCUCCAGGGAGUCCCAGGAGCUGGAAUCUAGAGCAGCUCAGUGGACACAUGAGACGUGCAGGGGGAAGUGUUAGGCCCAAAAACCGAAAAACAUGCUUAUCUCGGCUUCUGCUUGUUAUCCCAGUAAACAUGCUUAUCUCAGUUCUCACUGUCGUUUCCCAUGCAUGAAGCUGCACGUAUACAGGAUGUAUAGAAGAUAUAUGGAAAAGGGGAGGGGGUUGGACGGACCCUGGGAAAGGAAUGUGAAGGACGGGAAGCUAAACAGAUGUAUCCUGAUUACUACUAGAACUGAAUUUAAACAAAGCAUAGGUUAGCAGAAUUUAGACACGCUAAGUUGUUUGUCUCUCUGUAUAAAAGAAGCCCAGUUGUGCUUGUAAGGUGUGUUCCUCCCUCUGGCAUGAGUCGAGGGGGACACCCGCUCAGCUGACUGAUCAAUAAAGAAGUUGAAGCCGUCUUCUAGACUCCCGUGCCUCCUGGGGGUAAUUGGGCAGCUCCAGGGGGAAACGAGCCCAUUUGGCUAACAAAUGGCGACCCAGAUGGGACUUCUCUCCCUGUAGAGGGCACUGACCGACGGCCGAGGGCAAUUCCGAGGAGUGGCCACCUCGAGCUGUUGCUUUGCUCGGGCCUCGGAUCGUCACAAUCGGCCGGGGCGGCUGCGUCCUCUCUGAAGAGAACUCUGAAGGACACGGAAGCAAGACGGCUUCAGAAGGAGGGGAAGUCUGACUGCCGGACGCGGCCACUUUGGGCGCUGCAUCGACGCGGUGCCUUUUCAGGCCCUUCCCUUGGACCAGCCUGUGCACCCGUUCCAGAUCGGUGAUCAGAUCCUUGUCAAGAAGUGGAAGCGUGACCCCUUACACCACGGUGGGACGGCCCGCAUACUGUCUUGCUCAUCAGCCAAGCUGCAGUCAAAGUUAUUGGGAGUGACAAAUGGACGCACCAUACGCGGGUAAAACGGUUUCUGAACCCUAACCUAGAAACUGAGUCAGUGGAAGAGGACACCGGCCCUCUGCCCGCCCCGGCUCCGGAUGCCCGGGGUGGCACAGGUGAAGACUCCACCUGGGAGUAUCAGUACUUGGACGGACUAAAGGGACUGUUUAGAAAAAGAUAAUGAAAUUAUUGUUAAUAUCUUUGUUUAUGUGCUUCCACCACUAUUAUGGUUGGGAAAAUAGGUUUUUACAGCUGGGGGAGACAAUAGCAAAAUCCUUUAACCUCAGUAACUGAUGGGUACGCGGAGGCCCAGGGGAAUUAAAUGAAUGGCCUUGGGUAGCCCAGCCGGUACAGCCCAAAUGGUGGCUCAGCAAUUUGAGUAUAGUCCACGACGGAACGGGGGUUUGGACUGAGGAUAGUAGCCCCUGGCGACUGUAUUCUUCUGGAAUGGGUAUUCUCUGCCUUAAUCGGACAAGGCGGGAGGGAGUGUACUUGGGAGAAAGCAAGUGUGAUUGGACUCUAUCCCCAGGGUUUGAUUGCUGGGACCCUUAUUGUCAUCUGUAUGACUGUUCUAAAUAUCAGGGGCAAUGGAACCAGACCCAUGUGAGGCUCACCAAUAAUAGUUGGGUGAAAUGCUCCAAACAAUACUACCCUACGGCCGAAGGUUGCAGGGCGGUAGGACAGGAUGGGUUCUUUGACGCCCUAUUCACGAGUUGCCAGCUAGACAAUACCACUAGCAAGGACCACGUGGUACGGUGGUUUCAAAUGGGCAUGGCAGAAUCAGAAUGGAACUUGAGUAUGGGGUUUUAAACAAUUCUGGUCUAGCACCAAUCAGCCAAAAUGGGGCUGCGAUUGAGUCUGGAAAGCAGGAGCUGGGGCGUGGAGAUGUGAUUAUUGCAGUUCAGCUGAUGGAAUGGUGGGGGGACCUUUAGGGCCAGGUAAUCCUUUAUAUUUUGACCAUCUAGAGGACGAUGAGAAUGAGGAAACCUGGGAUGGCCCCUUUGCUAAUGGAACCUGGGCUCUAAAGGGCCAUUAUUGGAUCCGCGGGUCCUAUGCCUACCGAAGAUUGCCUCCAAAUUGGUCUGGGAUAUGUUAUGUUGGAUAUAUAAGACCCUUGUUCUUUCUAUUACCCCAGAUGCAGGGAAAUAAAUUGGGAAUUAAGGUUUAAUUAGAGAAAGGCGGUUCGUGGAUUCCACCCUGACCGCCGGAAGCUCCCAAACAUGGGGGGCUCAGGAGUGGCCCCCUGAGAGAAUUAUAAAACAUUAUGGUCCAGCUACAUGGAAUCCUAAUGAGUGGAUCUCAGGGGCAAGGGAGCCCAUUUACAACUUGAAUCGGAUAAUUAGGCUGCAAGCCAUUUUAGAAAUAAUAACUAAUCAGACGGCUGCAGCUCUUGAUCUUUUGGCCGAUCAGUCCACUCAGAUGAGGAAUGUGCUCUACCAGCACCAUCUAGUUCUUGAUUAUUUGCUGGCAGAAGAAGGGGGAAUCUGUGCAAAAUUAAACUAAUCUAAUUGCUGUUUACAAAUAGAUGAUAAUGGAAAGGCGGUAAAACAGCUAACAAAAGAAAUGAGGAAGCUAGCCCAUGUCCCGGUCCAAACAUGGGGUGGGUGGAAUAUGGACUGGUUCACGUCCUGGUUACCGCAACUGGGAUGGCUCCAAGAAGGCCUUCUUCUCUUUGUACUCUUUAUUACAACCCUAUUAACCCUAGCUUGCUUUGCUCCCUGUGUAGUUGCAUUAGUCCGACGAAUGGCUAAUCAAAUUAUACACCAACAAAUGAUGGCCCUAUACCAGCCGGUGAAGGCUGAGGAUUGGGGGCCAUAAGGCUCUCAAAAUGCUUUUUAGGGGGGAAUCUUGUUAGGCCCAAAAACCGAAAAACAUGCUUAUCUCGGCUUCUGCUUGUUAUCCCAGUAAACAUGCUUAUCUCAGUUCUCACUGUCGUUUCCCAUGCAUGAAGCUGCACGUAUACAGGAUGUAUAGAAGAUAUAUGGAAAAGGGGAGGGGGUUGGACGGACCCUGGGAAAGGAAUGUGAAGGACGGGAAGCUAAACAGAUGUAUCCUGAUUACUACUAGAACUGAAUUUAAACAAAGCAUAGGUUAGCAGAAUUUAGACAUGCUAAGUUGUUUGUCUCUCUGUAUAAAAGAAGCCCAGUUGUGCUUGUAAGGUGUGUUCCUCCCUCUGGCAUGAGUCGAGGGGGACACCCGCUCAGCUGACUGAUCAAUAAAGAACUUGAAGCCGU
This is a long non-coding RNA of Malaclemys terrapin pileata, 6419 nucleotides long. RefSeq lists it as uncharacterized. The transcript has 2 exons. The record is from RefSeq and is a predicted model, not a curated record. Lineage: Eukaryota; Metazoa; Chordata; Testudines; Emydidae.